ACGGAAGGCAGCAGUAGGGAAUAUUGCACAAUGGGGGAAGCCCUGAUGCAGCAACGCCACGUGUGGGAAGAAGCAUUUCGGUGUGUAAACCACUGUCGUGAGGGAAUAGGGCAUUGUUUCGGCGAUGUUGAAUGUACCUCGAAAGGAAGCACCGGCAAACUUCGUGCCAGCAGCCGCGGUAAUACGAGGGGUGCAAGCGUUGUUCGGAAUCACUGGGCGUAAAGGGAGCGCAGGCGGGGAUGCAAGCAGUCUGUACAAUACCGGGGCCCAACCCCGGACCUGCAGACUGGACUGUUUCCCUUGGAUAGUUCAGGGGCAAGCGGAAUUCCUGGUGUAGCGGUGGAAUGCGUAGAGAUCAGGAAGAACACCGAUGGCGAAGGCAGCUUGCUGGGGACUUAUCGACGCUCAUGCUCGAAAGUGCGGGUAGCAAACAGGAUUAGAUACCCUGGUA
Molecule: ribosomal RNA, 451 nt
Filed under: uncultured Fibrobacter sp.
Lineage: Bacteria; Pseudomonadati; Fibrobacterota; Fibrobacteria; Fibrobacterales; Fibrobacteraceae
Description: partial 16S ribosomal RNA
Rfam family: Bacterial small subunit ribosomal RNA
Source: RNAcentral